UUUCUUUAGUUCUUGAUCUAAACAUAUUCAAAUUAAACUCAUUCAAACAUAAUUCCAUUCAAUUUAAUCCAAAAACACAUAAAUGGGAAAAUUACCAUUUUGCCCUUGACAUUGAACACAUUUUACAAUUUAGUCCAAAUUGCACAAAACACAAAACAUGUAAAAUUUGCACACAUCAUGCUUAGGUCGAAUGUUACCCAUGCUCAUACAAGUCCAUACAUUUCAUUUAUUUCACAUUUUAGUCCCUCAAUUUAUUAUUUUUACAAUUUAGCCCUAAUUACUCAAAUUCAUCAAAAAUUCCAAUACAAAACAUAUUAAUCCAAAACAUAUCUUUCAUAAUUCAUCAACUAACAUAAAAAAACUCAUAAACUCAUCAGUGGAAAAACUCAAAAUAUUCAUCAAAUUCAAAAAUUACAACAUAGGCUUUGUAGAUUUCAAAGCAACGAUCUCAAAAACGUAAAAAUUAUCAAAAACCGAGCAAAAACGAACCUUGAAUUAAGCUUGAUAGUAGCCGAAACCUAAAAAGCCAUGGAUGAUUUUCUUUCUUUGAUAUAUUCGACCAACAAAGAUGAUAAUGGCUUUAAUUUAUGCUUUUGUUUUAUUUAAUUAUCAUAUAAUUAUUCAUUUCCAUUUUUAACCUUUAUAAUUUUAUUCCAUUUCCACUAACUCAUGUCCAAAAGUGUCCAUGCAUAAAUUAAAUGAUCUAAUUGCAUCAUAAAUACCUCAUGCUAUAAAGACAACAACAAUUCGACCCUUACAUAUUUAACUAUCAACUUUUUCAUCUUACGCGAUUAAGCUUUUUUAUUAAAUCGGCACUCAAACGACAAAAUUAAAACACAAAAAUUUCAUGGAUAUAAAUUCGCACAGCAUAAACACAGAUAAUAAUGUUUAAAUAUUUUUCUGGCUCAGAUUUAUGGUCUCGAAACCACUAUUCUGAUUAGGGUCGAAACCGGACUGUUACAAUUCUAGUUGAAACUCACAUAGCUAAACAAGCUGUUGUAAAUACAAAGUUUGAAUGGAGAUGCAUUGAAGAACAAGUAUCUACUUCAACAAGUAGUUGCCCGCUCGAUAAUUGUUAGUAUAUUUAAAGUUGAUAUAAGCUUUCAUAAUUACUUUCCCUUCUGAUUAGAAUUCAUUACUAAUUCCCCUGAAGUUAAAAAGCAGCAAGACAACAAGUUUCUGACAAAAGGUUGUUCUGGUCUAAGCUAAUAAAGGACUCAAUAUUGUCAGCUUGGCUAUUGAAUUUACUUCUUCAACACAGACUAGAAAAAUCGAGUUGUGUAGGAUUCAAACAACUUAAAGUGCCUUGCUGGUCUACUUUUUCCCGACUAUCGUCAUGUCAAAGAGGGUUUUGCAACAAACAAAGCAGCUUCUCUUUGAUUGUGUUAGGGAGUUGGUGGAAAAUAACCAUGAGAAGGAACAGAAAGGGAAAAGAUUUAAAGGAUCUGGUGAAGAGAUGUUAGAUGUGAAAAUAUGAAGGGAAAGGGAAACGAUAUGGAGAUGAAUCCGACAUUAAGCAAUUGUUAGAGCUGGAUAUAAUUAAUUCAACCUAAGAAUAGAAGAAUGGUUUUGAAUCCCAAAAGAGGGAUAUGGGGAUAGUAAUUGGAAAUGUCAUUGUAGAGGAGAUUACAAGUGAAGUUUGGGAUUUGACGGUGUUUGUUUAAAAAUGAAUAUGACAUUUCUUUUCUAGUUUUGUUACUAAUUCACUUUGAGAAGUUUUAGUAUGAUCAUGAAAUCAUUACAAACAUGUAUAUAGGGUUAGACAUUGCUAGCAUACUAGUUGGAUAUUUGGUGUAUAGAUGUUUAAAUGUAACUGUUGAGUUUGUAUGGUGUAUAGAUAUUUGGUAUUAUAUAUAUAAAUGAGAAUAAUUAUUGUUUUUGGAUCAAUAUUUGUAAUUUUGGUAACUAUGAUUCCAUGAGAUUAUAUUUUGUCUUUCAUAUUAGACAUGUAGUGAGAUGAUGUAGUAGAUUUGUGAAAAGAAAUUGUGUCAAAUUUGAUAGUUGAAAUCACCCACGACAAAAGGUAAGUGUGUGUGGGAUGAGAGGGUAGCAUUUAUC
Molecule: long non-coding RNA, 2058 nt
Filed under: Gossypium barbadense (sea-island cotton)
Lineage: Eukaryota; Viridiplantae; Streptophyta; Magnoliopsida; Malvales; Malvaceae
Description: long non-coding RNA (GBAR_LNC013386)
Source: RNAcentral